UUCUCUCGGUACCUUGCUCUGGAUAAUCGACAGGGGUUGAAUUGGAUUGCCUGUGCAUUUGUUAUUUGGUCCAACUCUUGGUAUGUAAAUAUCUGCUAAUUGCUAUGUGCUCAGCCUCUCUCUGUUUAAUUGUGCAAUUUGUAUCCCACUUUUUGAGUUGUUUGUUUGCUGGGUUGAGCCUUGCGGCAAGUAAUUAGCAAUGCAGCACGAUGCCAGCACCUUUGUACGGCAACCGUCCCUUCUGGCUGGGGACGGAAGCGAUUUUACCAUUGAGUAUUUCUAUCAUCCUUCUGUCUGUCUUCUAUUUACUGCUGUCAUCGGGUUUUGCAUUCGUUUUGGUCUCUUCUUCACUUUUGCCCCAAAUACUUAGGGGUUAAUUAUGAUGUUUAACUCUUUCGCCGAUGGGAAGGUAAAAUAUAUGAAAUCAAACUCCAUCGCAGCUUAUAUGUGUCAGCAAUCUAUUUUUGUUUCGUGGUUUCUAUAGCAGUUUUGUCAUGCAGAUAUAUGUCAAAAUUGAGAGAGCACGGUUGAUCAAGAAACUUGAAAAAAUAAAGGAAGGAUCAGGAUCUUAUAGCAGAAGCUACUGAUUUGAUGCAAGAAAUCAGGGUAACUAGAAGUUGACUUCUGUUGUCACUGAUAUUGUAAAUGGUUUUUUCUUGUCCAACAUUCCUAUGAUGGGUUUGGAAUGCAGGUAGAAACUUUUGUAGCAAUGACAAGUCUGGAGAAAGUUGCCUUCUUUUUUUUUUUUUUUUUUUUGAAGAAGUAUGGAUUUUUUAUAUUGCUUUUAGCCAUUUACGCACUAUUACUCUGAUUGGUUUCCUGAUUGAUGGGUUUUGCAGGUUUGUUUGUGCUUAGAUCGCCAGGAUUAUGUAUAUGCACAUAUUCUUUCCAGGAAUAUCAGCCCCCAAGUGUGUGAUGCAAAUCCUUCCAAAGAGAAGAAAAAGCCUAAAGAAGGUGAAAACAUUGUGGAACAAGCUCCAGCUGAUAUUCCGUCACUUCUGGAGUUGAAAUGGAAAUACUAUGACUCAUGACACAGUAAAUUGGCGUUUUGCUUUGUCUAGUGUUUGUCCACUAUCUUUUAACUAAUUUGUUUUUGCCAAUCAAGCGCCACUUCGUGUUCAGGUUGUGGUUCAAACCAUGGACAUGUAUGCUUUAUAUAUCUGGCACAUACUAUUUUUCCUAAGGCAUAUUCUCUUGUGCCUUUCUAGCUUUAGCGCAAAUUCUGACGUUCUAGAUGUACUUGAUAGAUUUGAACUCUCUUAGUUUACUCUGCAUUUAUGUGGUCAGCAAUGUAGGUAAGGUAUUACUCACACAAAAACAAUUACCUUAAGAUAAGUUGAAUAUAUAAGGCGAUAGAUGAGAUUCUAUCAGUGAAGGGAACCCAAAGCAGCAGAUGCUGAUGAAGGGAAACCCAGAGUAGUGAUACUGUUGAAGCUCUUUCAUUGUUAAGUCUUCACUGCAUUUUUCAAGGCACUACUGUUCAUUCUGUGAUUUAAUUUAAUGCAGGUUCUAAGGGAAAUAUGGUGGUGCUUGGUUCUAUCACCACAUGAUCCUAUGUAGUCAAG
Molecule: long non-coding RNA, 1565 nt
Filed under: Eucalyptus grandis
Lineage: Eukaryota; Viridiplantae; Streptophyta; Magnoliopsida; Myrtales; Myrtaceae
Description: long non-coding RNA (EGRA_LNC001450)
Source: RNAcentral